This 279-nucleotide ribosomal RNA is filed under the name uncultured bacterium. Its description in RNAcentral is "partial 16S ribosomal RNA". It matches the Rfam family "Bacterial small subunit ribosomal RNA", at positions 506 to 784 of the family's 1533-position model. The record is from RNAcentral.
UGCCAGCCGCCGCGGUAAUACGGAGGGUGCAAGCGUUGCUCGGAAUUACUGGGCGUAAAGCGUCCGCAGGCGGGUGGAUAAGUUGGAUGUGAAAGCCCGGGGCUCAACCCCGGAACUGCAUUCAAAACUGUCUACCUUGAGUGCGUGAGAGGGAAGCGGAAUUCCUGGUGUAGAGGUGAAAUUCGUAGAUAUCAGGAGGAACACCAGUGGCGAAAGCGGCUUCCUGGCAUGACACUGACGCUCAUGGACGAAAGCGUGGGGAGUAAACAGGAUUAGAUA